RNAcentral lists this long non-coding RNA (1002 nucleotides) under Oryctolagus cuniculus (rabbit). RNAcentral's name for it is "lncRNA (ENSOCUG00000034560.1)". The record is from RNAcentral. Lineage: Eukaryota; Metazoa; Chordata; Mammalia; Lagomorpha; Leporidae.
AUGGCAGGAGCCAGGUACUUAUCCUGGUCUCCUUGGGGUGCAGGGCCCAAGCACUUGGGCCAUCCUCCACUGCACUCCCGGGCCACAGCAGAGAGCUGGUCUGGAAGAGGGGCAACCGGGACAGAAUCCGGCGCCCUGACCGGGACUAGAACCCGGUGUGCCGGCACCGCAAGGCGGAGGAUUAGCCUAGUGAGCCAUGGCGCCGGCUUGACCUUAUCUUCUAAUGCAUUUUCCACCAACUGUGUGAAGCACGGCCAGAACACAGGAGCUCAGUGUUUCCAUUUCAUCUGUAUGGAUAAGGCAGCUGCCAUUCAGAGUACACACAUCUGGUCAACCACAAGGAGGCUUCAGCCUGAUUUCCAAGCCCCAGGCACCUUCUGGAGGGUCCUGUGCUUCCCCGUGCUCAUCAAAGCCAAGCCAGAGCCAGAGCCAGCCAGAAGAGCCCCCUCCCCAGCAUGGUGUCCUGUUCCACCCCCACUGCCUUCCUGCAGCUCACCGCCUUCCUUCCAAGCCUCCCAAAAUCCCCACCGCUGCGUGGAACGUCCCAGAAGCCCAGAGAGGAACAAGAACCGUUCAUCAAUUGCUUCUUCUGGCCUGAGCCUCUUCUGGGUGUUUCCCGUCAUUAUCUCACUUAAUCCUCAGACAGUUCUGGAACUUAAGCACCCUUCCCUCUGUUUUAUGGGUGAGGAAGCCCAGGCCCAGGGUGUGGAAGUGAGUGGUCUGGUGUUGCAUUCAAAGGCGGGGACUCCCAGCCCAGCUGGGAAAUGCAAGUCGAGCAUUGUCUGUCCUCACCGCCCCCACCCCUUGCCCCCCAGCAAUGCCUUGCCACUAGGCAUGGUGGUUCCCAGAGGAUGGGGAAGGGAUGCUGUGAGGGUCCCAGGGUGCCGUGCCCUAUCCCCGGGCAGCAUGAGAGGGCCCCCCGGCCGCUCAAGGCCCACAGCACAAAGGCAGGGCCAGGAUCCAAGACAGAGCUGCUGGCUGAGCUUUCUGUGCCGCCCCUGA